AACGUAGGAGGCGAGCGUUAUCCGGAUUUACUGGGCGUAAAGCGCGUGUAGGCGGUUCUGUAAGUCGUGCGUGAAAGCUCCCAGGCUUAACCGGGAGAGGUCGUGCGAUACUGUGGAACUGGAGUCAGACAGAGGCAAGUAGAAUUCCGGGUGUAGUGGUGAAAUGCGUAGAUAUCCGGAGGAAUACCAGUGGCGAAAGCGACUUGCUGGGUCUGAACUGACGCUCAGACGCGAAAGCAUGGGGAGCGAACGGGAUUAGAAACCCCCGUAGUCC
Molecule: ribosomal RNA, 274 nt
Filed under: uncultured bacterium
Lineage: Bacteria
Description: partial 16S ribosomal RNA
Rfam family: Bacterial small subunit ribosomal RNA
Source: RNAcentral